Molecule: long non-coding RNA, 2344 nt
Filed under: Callithrix jacchus (white-tufted-ear marmoset)
Lineage: Eukaryota; Metazoa; Chordata; Mammalia; Primates; Cebidae
Description: lncRNA (ENSCJAG00000073175.1)
Source: RNAcentral
AAAUAUGGAUCCUCUACAGCUCUGGUGGCAAAGCCUUGCUGCAAUCUGAAUUCUGAUCUUCCAAGAAAAAUCACAAGCAAUGACAGGCUCUUUAAUAUGGGUGCCAGCCACAGGCCAGAGAUCAAACGUUGCUGAACCAGAGUGAGGAAAAGAAUGGCAGGCAGGCGUCUUCUUUUUCCGCACGCAGACUGUAAUCAGCUCUCCACAAGGUCAUCCCGGAAGACCAAGGACGGUCCAGAUACCUCCUGGCUCUCCUCAGUAAUGGACGGAAGCAGUGGUGCAGAUAAUCUUCCCAAAUGGCGGGUAAUCCAAAAGCCAUUUCUAUUUAGCCUUGGGAGAAGCUUCUGUGCUCGUUCUGAGUGUGGAUGUGUGUGAGCCUCCCUGCCAGGUCCACGUGCACAGGGAGGCUGCUCUCAGGGAAGGGUUCCUCCUGCCGGCAGCAGGGGCCAUGGGCGCUGGCAGGGAGUCGGCGACGGAGAGGGCAGUUCAGGAAGGGAAGGCUGCAGGUGGGCUCCAUUUGGCCUCCUUCCUUGGUCCCUUCUCAGCUCCUGGGCCCUGCAAACGCAUGGCCUGGGUGCCUUUGCCCUCUGGCUUUCAAGCUGGUUUGAACUACAGGAGACGGAGCAGAGAACGGAGGGAAAAGCCAGGAUCUUUCUUCCGUGCUUCCUUUAGACUCUGGCACAGUCUCACUCAUCAUCUCUGCUUCCCUCUGCUUCUUCCCAGCUCCAGGAACACCAUCUCCUCCCUGGUCCCUUCUGUCCCAGGGAAGGAGCAGCACGGAGAGGAGCUGUGAGCGCUUACCACUGGGAAGUGAUAUCCGGGCCGGAGGAGUGAUAUCUCUGCCAGAGAAUGCUGCCUUUCGCUGCAAACCUUUCAGUGCUUUUUGACUUCCGAGGUGCGGUUAACAUUGAUACGCUGCUGACGGCAUGCCAGCCAUGCUUUGCACACUUAUGUAUAUGCUCAUGUAAUCCUCCUACCAAUGCCAUGAUGCUGUAGUGGUACCUGUGAGGAUCUGCAUUUUGCAGAAAAGGAAACGGAGAUCCCCAUGCGAUAAAGGCCUCCGUCGCAGGCAGGCUGCCCAGAGGCCCUGCCCUUAAUUCAUGCUACUUUGCUGCCUCUUGUGCACAUAUAUGACUCAGAUGAAACAACAAAAUUAAUUUUGAAAAUAUGCUGCCAUGAGUGUCCUCGUAUACAUAUUUUAUGUGCUUGUGUGAGGAUAUCGGACUCCUAGAAGUGAAAUAACCCCAAUUUUUACAAAAGACAAAACAUGGCAUUCAACUCAUCAUGUGGACGUAAAAACUAUUAGAACACUGAUACUGACAUUAUACUCAUUUUACUAUGGAAUGGAAGCACAGAAGCAAAUGACUUUUCUUUGUAUUCAUGAGUUUUAACAGGUCUUCUGGUUCGUCUAGCCCCUCUAAUUUCCUCUCAUCUCCCCUGUUACGACAACAAUCAGAAUGAUACCUGAGGAAUAAACCGUAAGAAAAAUGAGCAUUAAGAGGGCAAAUCGAGCUUCCUUUAGGAAGAGAGGAAAAUAAUUUUGCAGCUGAGAAACAUGUUGAAAUAUUAUUUUUACAGUGAAAACAGUUACAUCACAAGUUUAAAUUACAUUUCCAUUCGAAAUGGAGUCGAUUUGCACCACCUACUGGAAUAUACAGCUCCAUAUAGUCAGAGGUUUGAAAUACAAAACCACUUUCGAGAAUUGAGAGUUACAUUUCUAGUUUUAUCUUUAAGAGACCAGCUCCUUAGACAUGUUGGAAAUGUCAAACACUAAUUUCCUUCAGGGACUAUUUUCUAAAACAAACUCUCUUUAGAAGACAAAUUUAAUCAUCUAGCUAAAUUAACAAAUUGUACAACUGCUUAUAAUAAUAAAAUGAUUAAGCCAAAUAUAUCAACCAAAGAGAUAAAAAUGUAAAUUAGAAGCAAAACUGAAAUCAAUACACAUUAUCAGUUGCUAAAUCACUAUUGGAAAACAGAAUUCAAGCAGACAACUGGAAAAUGACAGGAAACAUAGGCAAACAGGAUAAAAAACAGAACACAACUCAACAUUAAUUUAAAAAGAACUCACCCAGUGAAAUUUUGAUAGUGUUUACAUCCAAAGUAAUAAUCAUUGUCAUGGCUUAAUUAUGGCCUCAACAUCAAUACAUAAAGUACUCAUAUUUAGGCUCUUCGGCAUUUUAAAGAAAACCCCAACAAAAAUUUUCAUUUUUUUAUGACAAACUACUCCAAGCAAUACAUUUCUGAAUAUAUAGUAGCAACAUUUAUUAUGAUAUAAUUGACAGGAAUUUGUAGAAAAAAAUUACAGCUACAAUAUCUGCUAUUCUAGAUGAAAUUGCUUUAGAAC